AGAUUAAACUGAAGAGUUUGAUCCUGGCUCAGAUUGAACGCUGGCGGCAUGCCUUACACAUGCAAGUCGAACGGUAACAGGUCUUCGGAUGCUGACGAGUGGCGAACGGGUGAGUAAUACAUCGGAACGUGCCCAGUAAUGGGGGAUAGCU
Molecule: ribosomal RNA, 151 nt
Filed under: Trichormus variabilis 9RC
Lineage: Bacteria; Bacillati; Cyanobacteriota; Cyanophyceae; Nostocales; Nostocaceae
Description: partial 16S ribosomal RNA
Rfam family: Bacterial small subunit ribosomal RNA
Source: RNAcentral